This 71-nucleotide transfer RNA is filed under the name Loxodonta africana (African savanna elephant). It matches the Rfam family "tRNA". Rfam says of the family: Transfer RNA (tRNA) molecules are approximately 80 nucleotides in length. Their secondary structure includes four short double-helical elements and three loops (D, anti-codon, and T loops). The record is from Rfam by way of RNAcentral. Lineage: Eukaryota; Metazoa; Chordata; Mammalia; Proboscidea; Elephantidae.
ACAUUGAUGGUUCAGUGGCAGAAUUCUUACCCUCCAUGUGGAAUACCCAGGUUCAUUUCCUGGCCUAUGUA